CUUAAAUGAAUUGACGGGGGCCCGCACAAGCGGUGGAGCAUGUGGUUUAAUUCGAUGCAACGCGAAGAACCUUACCUACUCUUGACAUCCAGAGAACUUAGCAGAGAUGCUUUGGUGCCUUCGGGAACUCUGAGACAGGUGCUGCAUGGCUGUCGUCAGCUCGUGUUGUGAAAUGUUGGGUUAAGUCCCGCAACGAGCGCAACCCUUAUCCUUUGUUGCCAGCGGUCCGGCCGGGAACUCAAAGGAGACUGCCAGUGAUAAACUGGAGGAAGGUGGGGAUGACGUCAAGUCAUCAUGGCCCUUACGAGUAGGGCUACACACGUGCUACAAUGGCAUAUACAAAGAGAAGCGACCUCGCGAGAGCAAGCGGACCUCAUAAAGUAUGUCGUAGUCCGGAUUGGAGUCUGCAACUCGACUCCAUGAAGUCGGAAUCGCUAGUAAUCGUAGAUCAGAAUGCUACGGUGAAUACGUUCCCGGGCCUUGUACACACCGCCCGUCACACCAUGGGAGUGGGUUGCAAAAGAAGUAGGUAGCUUAACCUUCGGGAGGGCGCUUACCACUUUGUGAUUCAUGACUGGGGUGAAGUCGUAACAAGGUAAC
This 600-nucleotide ribosomal RNA is filed under the name uncultured bacterium. RNAcentral's name for it is "bacterial SSU rRNA". It matches the Rfam family "Bacterial small subunit ribosomal RNA", at positions 900 to 1500 of the family's 1533-position model. The record is from RNAcentral.